RNAcentral lists this ribosomal RNA (400 nucleotides) under uncultured bacterium. Its description in RNAcentral is "bacterial SSU rRNA". It matches the Rfam family "Bacterial small subunit ribosomal RNA", at positions 355 to 770 of the family's 1533-position model. The record is from RNAcentral.
UGGGGAAUAUUUGGCAAUGGGCGCAAGCUUGACCAAGCAAUACCUCGUGAAGGAUGAAGGCUUUAGAGUUGUAAACUUCUUUUCUGAUUGAGGAAAUUCUGACAGUAUUUCAGGAAUAAGCAUCGGCUAACUUCGUGCCAGCAGCCGCGGUAAUACGGGGGAUGCAAGCGUUAUCCGGAUUUAUUGGGCGUAAAGCGUUCGUAGAUGGUUUUUUAAGUUUAAUGUUAAAUUCCAAAGCUUAACUUUGAUACUGCAUUAAAAACUGAAAGACUUUAGUACAAUAGGGGUAAAGGGAAUUUCCAGUGUAGCGGUGAAAUGCGUAGAUAUUGGAAAGAACGCCUAUAGCGAAAGCACUUUACUGGGUUGUUACUGAAAUUGAGGAACGAAAGCUAGGGGAGCA